UUUAUGGAGAGUUUGAUCCUGGCUCAGGAUGAACGCUGGCGGCGUGCCUAAUACAUGCAAGUCGAGCGAACGGACGAGAAACUUGCUUCUCUGAUGUUAGCGGCGGACGGGUGAGUAACACGUGGAUAACCUACCUAUAAGACUGGGAUAACUUCGGGAAACCGGAGCUAAUACCGGAUAAUAUUUUGAACCGCAUGGUUCAAAAGUGAAAGACGGUCUUGCUGUCACUUAUAGAUGGAUCCGCGCUGCAUUAGCUAGUUGGUAAGG
Molecule: ribosomal RNA, 267 nt
Filed under: Staphylococcus aureus
Lineage: Bacteria; Bacillati; Bacillota; Bacilli; Caryophanales; Staphylococcaceae
Description: partial 16S ribosomal RNA
Rfam family: Bacterial small subunit ribosomal RNA
Source: RNAcentral